Pogoniulus pusillus (Red-fronted tinkerbird) is the source of this 449-nucleotide long non-coding RNA. RefSeq lists it as uncharacterized. The transcript is spliced from 3 exons. Lineage: Eukaryota; Metazoa; Chordata; Aves; Piciformes; Lybiidae. The record is from RefSeq and is a predicted model, not a curated record.
AUUCCUUCUAUGGAGACAGAUUGAGAGUUGGGGCUGCUCAGUCUGGAGAAGAGAAGGCUCUAAGGAGAUCUUAUUUUGGCUUUCCAAUAUCUCAGGGGGACAUACAAGCAAGCUGGCUUUUGCCCCAGGAAGGUACCCAAACUGCUCUGCUUUCAGCACCUGUAAACUCUUAAAUUGGCUGCUAAUGGACUGGGUGGAGCCUGUUUGGAGUUCAGCAGUGUCCAUUUUCUUCCUGAGAGGCUGUGCUCUCCAGGGCAGCUUGCCCAGCACUGGGCCUGUUCUGGGACCUCAUACUUUGUCCAAGGGGAUAGCUGCAUCACCUUGACCUCACACUCCUGCAGGAGCACAACUGAAUUCAUAACUUACUCCAGAGGGUUUAUUAGUUGAUGCUUAAUAGAGCUCAUGCAACAUAAAUGGAAUAAAAGAGUAUAUGGUUGCUGCUGUCUGUU